CUACGGAGGGUGCAAGCGUUAAUCGGAAUUACUGGGCGUAAAGCGCGCGUAGGCGGUUAUUUAAGUCAGAUGUGAAAUCCCUGGGCUCAACCUAGGAACUGCAUCUGAUACUGGGUAACUAGAGUUUUGGAGAGGUAAGUGGAAUUUCCGGUGUAGCGGUGAAAUGCAUAGAGAUCGGAAGGAACACCAGUGGCGAAGGCGACUUACUGGCCAAAAACUGACGCUGAGGUGCGAAAGCGUGGGUAGCAAACAGGAUUAGAUACCCUAGUAGUCC
This 274-nucleotide ribosomal RNA is filed under the name uncultured bacterium. RNAcentral describes it as "partial 16S ribosomal RNA". It matches the Rfam family "Bacterial small subunit ribosomal RNA", at positions 523 to 796 of the family's 1533-position model. The record is from RNAcentral.